GAUGAACGCUAGCUACAGGCUUAACACAUGCAAGUCGAGGGGCAGCAUGGUCUUAGCUUGCUAAGGCCGAUGGCGACCGGCGCACGGGUGAGUAACACGUAUCCAACCUGCCGUCUACUCUUGGACAGCCUUCUGAAAGGAAGAUUAAUACAAGAUGGUUCAUCAUGAGUCCACAUGUUCACAUGAUUAAAGGUAUUCCGGUAGACGAUGGGGAUGCGUUCCAUUAGAUAGUAGGCGGGGUAACGGCCCACCUAGUCUUCGAUGGAUAGGGGUUCUGAGAGGAAGGUCCCCCACAUUGGAACUGAGACACGGUCCAA
This 317-nucleotide ribosomal RNA is filed under the name uncultured bacterium. RNAcentral's name for it is "bacterial SSU rRNA". It matches the Rfam family "Bacterial small subunit ribosomal RNA", at positions 28 to 334 of the family's 1533-position model. The record is from RNAcentral.